RNAcentral lists this ribosomal RNA (819 nucleotides) under uncultured bacterium. Its description in RNAcentral is "bacterial SSU rRNA". It matches the Rfam family "Bacterial small subunit ribosomal RNA", at positions 28 to 896 of the family's 1533-position model. The record is from RNAcentral.
AACGAACGCUGGCGGCAGGCCUAACACAUGCAAGUCGAGCGCACCUUCGGGUGAGCGGCGGACGGGUUAGUAACGCGUGGGAAUAUGCCCUUCACUACGGAAUAGCCUCGGGAAACUGAGAGUAAUACCGUAUACGCCCUUCGGGGGAAAGAUUUAUCGGUGAAGGAUUAGCCCGCGUCUGAUUAGAUAGUUGGUGGGGUAACGGCCUACCAAGUCUACGAUCAGUAGCUGGUUUGAGAGGAUGAUCAGCAACACUGGGACUGGGACACGGCCCAGACUCCUACGGGAGGCAGCAGUGGGGAAUCUUAGACAAUGGGCGCAAGCCUGAUCUAGCCAUGCCGCGUGAGUGACGAAGGCCUUAGGGUCGUAAAGCUCUCUCGCCAGAGAUGAUAAUGACAGUAUCUGGUAAAGAAACCCCGGCUAACUCCGUGCCAGCAGCCGCGGUAAUACGGAGGGGGUUAGCGUUGUUCGGAAUUACUGGGCGUAAAGCGUACGUAGGCGGAUUGGAAAGUUGGGGGUGAAAUCCCGGGGCUCAACCCCGGAACUGCCUCCAAAACUAUCAGUCUAGAGUUCGAGAGAGGUGAGUGGAAUUCCAAGUGUAGAGGUGAAAUUCGUAGAUAUUUGGAGGAACACCAGUGGCGAAGGCGGCUCACUGGCUCGAUACUGACGCUGAGGUACGAAAGUGUGGGGAGCAAACAGGAUUAGAUACCCUGGUAGUCCACACCGUAAACGAUGAAUGCCAGACGUCGGGGGGCUUGCCCUUCGGUGUCACACCUAACGGAUUAAGCAUUCCGCCUGGGGAGUACGGUCGCAAGAUUA